RNAcentral lists this ribosomal RNA (459 nucleotides) under uncultured bacterium. Its description in RNAcentral is "partial 16S ribosomal RNA". It matches the Rfam family "Bacterial small subunit ribosomal RNA", at positions 338 to 795 of the family's 1533-position model. The record is from RNAcentral.
CCUACGGGAGGCAGCAGUGAGGAAUAUUGGUCAAUGGACGAGAGUCUGAACCAGCCAAGUAGCGUGAAGGAUGACUGCCCUAUGGGUUGUAAACUUCUUUUAUAAAGGAAUAAAACGAGGCACGUGUGCCUUUUUGCAUGUACUUUAUGAAUAAGGAUCGGCUAACUCCGUGCCAGCAGCCGCGGUAAUACGGAGGAUCCGAGCGUUAUCCGGAUUUAUUGGGUUUAAAGGGAGCGUAGAUGGGUUGUUAAGUCAGUUGUGAAAGUUUGCGGCUCAACCGUAAAAUUGCAAUUGAUACUGGCGGUCUUGAGUACAGUUGGGGUAGGCGGAAUUCGGGGUGUGGCGGUGAAUGGCUAGAUAUCACGAAGAACCCCGAUUGCGAAGGCAGCUUACUAAACUGUGACUGACAUUGAUGCUCGAAAGUGUGGGUAUCAAACAGGAUUAGAUACCCCAGUAGUC